CAGCCGCCACGGUAAUACGAAGGGGGCUAGCGUUGUUCGGAAUUACUGGGCGUAAAGGGCGCGUAGGCGGCCAUUCAAGUUAGAUGUGAAAGCCCUGGGCUCAACCUAGGAAUUGCAUUUGAUACUGUUUGGCUUGAGUUCGGGAGAGGUGAGUGGAAUUCCCAGUGUAGAGGUGAAAUUCGUAGAUAUUGGGAAGAACACCAGUGGCGAAGGCGGCUCACUGGACCGACACUGACGCUGAGGCGCGAAAGCGUGGGGAGCAAACAGGAUUAGAUACCCCCGUAGUCCCUGUCUCUUAUAC
RNAcentral lists this ribosomal RNA (301 nucleotides) under uncultured bacterium. RNAcentral describes it as "partial 16S ribosomal RNA". It matches the Rfam family "Bacterial small subunit ribosomal RNA", at positions 509 to 807 of the family's 1533-position model. The record is from RNAcentral.